UGAAAGAUUCAUCGGUGGCGGAUAGGCUCGCGGGACAUUAGCUAGACGGCGGGGCAACGGCCCACCGUGGCGACGAUGUCUAGGGGUUCUGAGAGGAAGACCCCCCACACUGGGACUGAGACACGGCCCAGGCUCCUACGGGAGGCAGCAGUGAGGAAUAUUGGUCAAUGGGCGGAAGCCUGAACCAGCCAUGCCGCGUGAAGGACUAAGGCCCUACGGGUCGUAAACUUCUUUAGACGCAGAGCAAUAAGGUCCACGAGUGGACCGAUGAGAGUAUGCGUAGAAUAAGCAUCGGCUAACUCCGUGCCAGCAGCCGCGGUAAUACGGGGGAUGCGAGCGUUAUCCGGAUUCAUUGGGUUUAAAGGGUGCGUAGGCGGCCGAGUAAGUCAGCGGUGAAAGACCGGGGCUCAACCCUGGAAGUGCCGUUGAUACUGUUUGGCUGGAAUGAUCCCGCCGCGGGAGGAAUGAGUGGUGUAGCGGUGAAAUGCAUAGAUAUCACUCAGAACACCGAUUGCGAAGGCAUCUCGCGAGGGGUCAAUUGACGCUGAGGCACGAAAGCGUGGGGAUCGAACAGGAUUAGAUACCCUGGUAGUCCACGCGGUAAACGAUGAUGGCUAACUGUCGGGCCUGCGGGUUCGGCGGC
Molecule: ribosomal RNA, 643 nt
Filed under: uncultured bacterium
Lineage: Bacteria
Description: bacterial SSU rRNA
Rfam family: Bacterial small subunit ribosomal RNA
Source: RNAcentral